AGAACGAACGCUGGCGGCAUGCCUAAUACAUGCAAGUCGAACGAACUCUUCGGAGUUAGUGGCGCACGGGUGCGUAACGCGUGGGAAUCUGCCCCUUGGUUCGGAAUAACAGUUGGAAACGACUGCUAAUACCGGAUGAUGACGAAAGUCCAAAGAUUUAUCGCCAAGGGAUGAGCCCGCGUAGGAUUAGCUAGUUGGUGAGGUAAAGGCUCACCAAGGCAACGAUCCUUAGCUGGUCUGAGAGGAUGAUCAGCCACACUGGGACUGAGACACGGCCCAGACUCCGUACGGGAGCAGCAGUAGG
This 304-nucleotide ribosomal RNA is filed under the name uncultured soil bacterium. RNAcentral describes it as "bacterial SSU rRNA". It matches the Rfam family "Bacterial small subunit ribosomal RNA", at positions 26 to 358 of the family's 1533-position model. The record is from RNAcentral.